GAUGAAGAACGUAGCGAAAUGCGAUAAGUAAUGUGAAUUGCAGAAUUCAGUGAAUCAUCGAAUCUUUGAACGCACAUUGCGCCCGCCAGUAUUCUGGCGGGCAUGCCUGUUCGAGCGUCAUUUCAACCAUCAAGCCCCAGGCUUGUGUUGGAGCCCUGCGGCUGCCGCAGCCUCCCAAAACCAGUGGCGGGCUCGCUAUCACACCGAGUGCAGUAGUUUACUCUUCGCUCAGGGCGUGUGGCGGGUGCUAGCCGUAAAACCCCCAACUUCUCAAGGUUGACCUCGGAUCAGGUAGGAAAACCCGCUGAACUUAAGCAUAUCAAUAAGCGGAGGA
This 334-nucleotide unclassified non-coding RNA is filed under the name soil metagenome. RNAcentral describes it as "partial contains 5.8S ribosomal RNA, internal transcribed spacer 2, and large subunit ribosomal RNA". The stretch from base 1 to 120 matches the Rfam family "5.8S ribosomal RNA", at positions 35 to 154 of the family's 154-position model. The record is from RNAcentral.